Molecule: ribosomal RNA, 503 nt
Filed under: uncultured bacterium
Lineage: Bacteria
Description: partial 16S ribosomal RNA
Rfam family: Bacterial small subunit ribosomal RNA
Source: RNAcentral
AUUGAACGCUGGCGGCAGGCUUAACACAUGCAAGUCGAGCGGGGUGAUGGUGCUUGCACUAUCACUUAGCGGCGGACGGGUGAGUAAUGCUUAGGAAUCUGCCUAUUAGUGGGGGACAACAUCUCGAAAGGGAUGCUAAUACCGCAUACGUCCUACGGGAGAAGGCAGGGGAUCACUUGUGACCUUGCGCUAAUAGAUGAGCCUAAGUCGGAUUAGCUAGUUGGUGGGGUAAAGGCCUACCAAGGCGACGAUCUGUAGCGGGUCUGAGAGGAUGAUCCGCCACACUGGGACUGAGACACGGCCCAGACUCCUACGGGAGGCAGCAGUGGGGAAUAUUGGACAAUGGGGGGAACCCUGAUCCAGCCAUGCCGCGUGUGUGAAGAAGGCCCUAUGGUUGUAAAGCACUUUAAGCGAGGAGGAGGCUCUUUUGGUUAAUACCCAAGAUGAGUGGACGUUACUCGCAGAAUAAGCACCGGCUAACUCUGUGCCAGCCGCCGCUGUAA